UACGUAGGGGGCUAGCGUUAUCCGGAAUUACUGGGCGUAAAGGGUGCGUAGGUGGUUUCUUAAGUCAGAUGUGAAAGCCCCGGGCUCAACCUGGGAACUGCAUUUGAAACUGGCGGGCUUGAGUAUGGCAGAGGGGGGUGGAAUUCCGCGUGUAGCAGUGAAAUGCGUAGAGAUGCGGAGGAACACCGAUGGCGAAGGCAGCCCCCUGGGCCAAUACUGACGCUCAGGCACGAAAGCGUGGGGAGCAAACAGG
RNAcentral lists this ribosomal RNA (253 nucleotides) under uncultured bacterium. RNAcentral's name for it is "partial 16S ribosomal RNA". It matches the Rfam family "Bacterial small subunit ribosomal RNA", at positions 524 to 776 of the family's 1533-position model. The record is from RNAcentral.